RNAcentral lists this ribosomal RNA (412 nucleotides) under uncultured bacterium. RNAcentral describes it as "bacterial SSU rRNA". It matches the Rfam family "Bacterial small subunit ribosomal RNA", at positions 29 to 433 of the family's 1533-position model. The record is from RNAcentral.
AACGAACGCUGGCGGCGCGCUUAACACAUGCAAGUCGAACGAGAAGGCGUAGCAAUACGCUUGUACAGUGGCGAACGGGUGAGUAAUACGUGGGCGACCUACCCUCGAGUGGGGAAUAACCCGCCGAAAGGCGGGCUAAUGCCGCGUACGCUUCCAUCUUUAUGGAGGUGGAAGGAAAGCCGUGCCGUGGGCACGGCGCUCAAGGAUGGGCUCACGUCCUAUCAGCUUGUUGGAGGGUAACGGCCUACCAAGGCUCCGACGGGUAGCUGGUCUGAGAGGACGAUCAGCCACACUGGCACUGCGACACGGGCCAGACUCCUACGGGAGCAGCAGUGAGGAAUAUUGCGCAAUGGGCGAAAGCCUGACGCAGCGACGCCGCGUGGGGGAUGAAGGUCUUCGGAUUGUAAACCCC